RNAcentral lists this ribosomal RNA (253 nucleotides) under uncultured bacterium. RNAcentral's name for it is "partial 16S ribosomal RNA". It matches the Rfam family "Bacterial small subunit ribosomal RNA", at positions 524 to 776 of the family's 1533-position model. The record is from RNAcentral.
UACGUAGGGACCAAGCGUUGUCCGGAAUUAUUGGGCGUAAAGAGCGUGUAGGCGGCUUGUCAAGUCCGGUGUGAAAUGUCGGGGCUUAACCCCGGAACUGCAUUGGAAACUGGCUUGCUUGAGUCCGGAAGAGGAGACUGGAAUUCCUGGUGUAGCGGUGAAAUGCGCAGAUAUCAGGAAGAACACCCGUGGCGAAGGCGGGUCUCUGGGACGGUACUGACGCUGAGACGCGAAAGCGUGGGGAGCAAACAGG